CUUGUCCCACACGGGGUCGCGGAGCCUAACCCGGCACGUAAGGCUGGAAAGGGAGGGGACACACCCAGGAUGGGACGCCAGUCCGCCGCAAGGCACCCCAAGCGGGUCUUGAGCCCCAGACCCACCGGAGAGCAGGACCCGGUCCAACCCACUGCGCCGCUGCGCCCCCCAAGAUUCUGCUUUGACAGUUGCUGGCUCAGACUGCAGGAACGGCCUUUCUGUAGUACCCUUGAGUAAGGAAGUGAUGACAAGGACUGCUUCGGCUCACUACUGUACGAACGCUC
RNAcentral lists this long non-coding RNA (284 nucleotides) under Scleropages formosus (Asian bonytongue). RNAcentral's name for it is "lncRNA (ENSSFOG00015025435.1)". The record is from RNAcentral. Lineage: Eukaryota; Metazoa; Chordata; Actinopteri; Osteoglossiformes; Osteoglossidae.